Molecule: ribosomal RNA, 253 nt
Filed under: uncultured bacterium
Lineage: Bacteria
Description: partial 16S ribosomal RNA
Rfam family: Bacterial small subunit ribosomal RNA
Source: RNAcentral
UACGAGGGGGGCGAGCGUUGUUCGGAAUUAUUGGGCGUAAAGGGUGCGUAGGCGGUUUGGUAAGUCUGAUGUGAAAUCUAUGGGCUCAACUCAUAGUCUGCAUCGGAAACUGCCGGGCUUGAGUGUGGGAGAGGUGAGUGGAAUUCCUGGUGUAGCGGUGAAAUGCGUAGAUAUCAGGAGGAACACCGGUGGUGUAGACGGCUCUCUGGACCGUAACUGACGCUGAGACACGAAAGCGUGGGUAGCAAACAGG